Molecule: ribosomal RNA, 497 nt
Filed under: uncultured bacterium
Lineage: Bacteria
Description: partial 16S ribosomal RNA
Rfam family: Bacterial small subunit ribosomal RNA
Source: RNAcentral
GAUGAACGCUGGCGGCGUGCCUAAUACAUGCAAGUCGAGCGAACGGACGAGAAGCUUGCUUCCCUGCUGUUAGCGACGGACGGGUGAGUGACACAUAGAUCACCUACCUAUAUGACUGGGAUAACUUCGGAAAACCAGAGCUAAUACCGCAUAAUAUUUUCUACCGCCUGGAUCAAAAGUGCAAGACGCCCUUGCUGUCACUUAUAGAUGAUUUCGGGCUGCAUUAGCUAGUUGGUAAGGUAACGGCUUACCAAGGCGACGAUGCAUAGCCGACCUGAGAGGGUGAUCGGCCACACUGGAACUGAGACACGGUCCAGACUCCUACGGGAGGCAGCAGUGGGGAAUCUUCCGCAAUGGGCGAAAGCCUGACGGAGCAACGCCGCGUGAGUGAUGAAGGUCUUCGGAUCGUAAAACUCUGUUAUUAGGGAAGAACAUAUGUGGAAGAAACUGUGCACAUCUUGACGGUACCUAAUCAGAAAGCCACGGCUAACUACGUG